GGCUGCCAGUUCUUGCCUGGGUGGAUGGUUGGAAGUGACAGAGACAGGGAAUGUGGGGAGGGGGGCGAGGAAUAGGUUUGGGUGGAAAGUACAAACUGUUGAGUUCUGAUAGGGACGCGUACUUGGGAGGGGCUGUCUAGAGCACAUCUCAGUGCAGAUAUGCAGGCGGCUGAGAGACCGUUAAGAACUUUAUCGUCACACAUUUGGAAAUUAAGGUGUCUGGCGGGAAGCUGAAAAUAGCUUGAGUUCAAGAAAGAAGUCUUGUCAGGGUACAUGGAUUGGAGAGUCACCAGCUUCUGGAUGAUAAUUAAGGCCAUGGGAAGGAGGUCAGUUACUUGGGAAGGACGAAUGAGGAGAGAAGGGGGUAAGAGCAGAGACUCAGGGAGCAACAGCACUCAGGGGUGGUUUUCAACCUUGGCAACACAUUUGGAUCAGGAAGGGAGCUUGAAAAACACCCGUGUCUAGGCCCCACCCCAGACAAACAGUCUGAAUCUCUGGCAGUAAGCUCUAAAAGGUCCUCAGGCUGAGACCCCAUGACUCAGAGGGAAGGCAGAGGAACAGGGCUAGCAAAGGAGACGGAGAAGGAACGUUCAGGAAGAUAGGAAGAGUUUCAAGGAGGGAGAGUUCCAAAGCAUCAAAUAGAGCAGGAUCCUAACAGUUAACCCCUACCCAGUACUCAUGCUGUGUCAGGGACUCCACACGAACUCCCUGAAUCCUGGAGACCCUGUGAUGCGGGUACUAUAAUCGGUAUUUUAAUGAUAAGGAAACUGAGGCACAGGGAUGUUAAGGAGUUGCCCAAAGUCACGCAGCUGGUAAGCAGAAACCAGGAUUCAAGCGCAGGCAGGCCACUGCUGGGUCUGCUCCUAACUGCGGUGCGAGGCCAGUUCUCCUGCAGUGGCUGAGGGAGGUGUUUUUAGCACAGCUGGUUGGAAUCAUCUCCCAAGGAGCCCGCUCUCCUUCUCCUCUUCUCCUUUCUCUGUUUUCCAUCUCUUUCCCUUUUUCCUCUCAGCCUAGGUCACUAAGGGUUGUGCCUCACCCCCGUGGCCUUUUCCGGCUGAGGGGCCCAGGUGGGGCUGGUUCUCCUCCUUCCCUCUUGCUGAGACAACACGGUCCGCCCCUUAUCAGGUGGUCCCAACUGCGGGGCACGUGGCCAAUAGCCUCUUCACGUACCAGGCGGAGACGAGCAACUUUCUAAGCGGGUAGUCAGGCUAAGGCAGAAGGAUCCAAUCCUCCUGGAAAUUCAGUCUUCUGGGAAGUACAUGCAGAGAUAGACCCUGAGAAGGAAGGAGACUGGAAUCCACAUUCACGUGGAGGGGAUGUGAGCAUAAUCAGACCUUGGGGAUAUCCCCUCCCUGUUAGCAGUACCAGGGGUCUUCAAAAACAUCCUGUAAGGGCUACCUCUGGAACAACUGGACCGGAAUCUCUGGGGGCCUGGUGGGAUUUAAAAGCUCUGCAGUGAUUCUAAAGUGUAGCCCGGGUUGAGAACCACAACCUCAAGAGAAGAUUUCUGGGUUUCCCGAGAUGAAUCUCGUGCUGACUUCUGAAAUGGACCUGACUCUUCAGCAGCCUGACGCCAAGCUCUGGAGAGUUCGGGACCCGGUCAUCACCCUUGGAUGUGUUGGCAACGCGGCUACUUCCAUUGGGCCACAUCUCUGCCCUGACAAGCUCUCAGAUGUCACAGCGGGGCCUGGAAGAUGGAGUUACAAAUACAGAGACUGACCACGGCCAAGCCAGAUAGGGAGAGUUGGCUGAGUCCCCCAGUUCCUUACAUCCUCUCUUCUGCUCCCUGACUCUUACCCCCACCUGGCUUUUUAGGGCAAGGCAUUCAUUUGCCUGCCUUUCCUGUGGUCCCUCUCCCGCACCCACGAUAAGGAGCCUGCCCGUCAGCUGAGUGAUUGUAUUUUUUUACAGUUCCUAGCACAAACCUUCUCAUUUAUAUGUAAAGCAGCCAUUAGUCAUAGCUCCGUUCCCACACACUGCCUGAUGUACAAUCACAUUUUGCAGCGGAUGAAUCUUUCCACACAGCUGCUCUGCUAUGAAUAAUCCGUCUCCAGGCCCAUAAAUCAGAAAAAAAUCA
Ailuropoda melanoleuca (giant panda) is the source of this 2077-nucleotide long non-coding RNA. RefSeq lists it as uncharacterized. The record is from RefSeq and is a predicted model, not a curated record. NCBI's taxonomy places the organism in Eukaryota, Metazoa, Chordata, Mammalia, Carnivora, Ursidae. The transcript has 2 exons.